RNAcentral lists this long non-coding RNA (1611 nucleotides) under Cyanistes caeruleus (blue tit). RNAcentral describes it as "lncRNA (ENSCCEG00000013069.1)". The record is from RNAcentral. Lineage: Eukaryota; Metazoa; Chordata; Aves; Passeriformes; Paridae.
GCCCAAAUCAUCUAUUUUAUUUAUACUAGUUAUUAAGUUCUACACCUUUAAAACUAAUUUAAAAAAAACAAAACCAAAAAAACCCCCCCACAAUUUAUUUUCAAAAACAACACUCACUCCCCCACACACUUCUCCAGAUUAUGUUAUCUAUAACACAAAGAAACAGCUAAACAAAACUCUCCUUUACUUUUAGUUAAUUUUUAACUAAAACAAAAAAUUUCCCCAAACUGGUUUUUUUUUUUUUUCUUUUUUCUUGAAUCUAUUCAAACCUACUCUAAACUAAAAACCCAAAAAAUCCCAAAAGCUCACACCCACCAAAACCUAAGCUUCAACACUUUCCAGCACUGGAGGGACUAAUAAAAAACUAAACAAACCAAACUACACCCCACAAAAAAAUCUUUUCUAAAUUUACCAUCUCUUCAAACAACAAAAAAGAUUUAUUAUUUAAUAUUAUUCAUUUUUUAUACUCAUAAAUACUUAUUAAAUAAACAAAUUUUUCCACUUUUCUCCAAAAAAAUCUUUUUUCAAAUCAAUUAAAAAAACCCAACGAACACAUUACUUUCUAAAAAAAUAAAUUCAAAAAUUUUCUCCCAGAUUUACCCUAAACCAAAACAAAUACAACUUUGAAGCUGUCAGAGGAAAAAAUGUACCAGGUCAUCCCUUCUCAGAAUCAUCAAAGAUUUGGGACUACUCUGUUUGAGCAGAAGUUCCCCCUUCUGGAUCAGCACACAGGCAGCGUUGGGUAGUGGGGGCCCAUUCACAGGGCACAGAGGGUCGCUCAUCUCACAAUCCUCGUUGUGUCCAGUUCUACCAGAAAGCUGAUCCCUGGUUGUCAGUGCUGGUGACACUGAAGCCACAGGUUCUUGCAGAAAACACAAAGAAAAAUGAUCACUUUCUGAUGCUUUAUAGUGAAGAAGCUGUGGUUGGAAGGUAUCUUCAGGACUCUUCUUCAAGAAGCUUGGCAAUUCAGGCUUCUGACCGUGAGAGUAAGAGGAGUUCUGCAUAAAUAACAGAAGACAGGCUUAUAAAUGUUAGAGUGGAGGCAAAGGAAUUAACUCAGCAAGUGUUUUACUACAAAACUGGGAAGGAGACAGAGAAUGAAAAAAAGGCAGGAGAUUGCAUCUUAGAGACCCUUCCCCACUAAGCAGCAGAGGUAAGGAUCGGGCUGAGACAUCAGGUGAUUGCUUUAACGUUACGUUCGUGCGUGCUGCGAUUGCUUCUCUGCCCAGAUACUGCAUAAUUGACUGCACAGCAUUAGCCAGGCACCACGUGGUAUCAGCACACAUACUCUGACGGCAAAAGCCCUGAGGUUCUGAGAUAUAUAUUCAAAAAAAAAAAAAAACAAACCAAAAACUCCUCCUUGUAAAGAACAAGGAUGGGUAGGGGUGAGAAGAGAGGAGCCAUUUCUGUGAAGUUAGCAGUGUUUAUUUAAUGGUGUAAGGUGAAAUUCUGUCUGAGAAGAGGUCACAUAAUCAUCAUGCUCCUUUCUGCCUUCUCAGUCAUUACUAGGGUGAACUGACUGUUUCACUAAAAUCAAGAUCAGGCAGGGUAAAAAAAGAGGUAGGGUAAAGCUAAGCAAAUAAAUCCUGUCAGAAUCCAGUAUUGCUGACA